RNAcentral lists this non-coding RNA (23 nucleotides) under Arabidopsis thaliana (thale cress). The record is from RNAcentral. Lineage: Eukaryota; Viridiplantae; Streptophyta; Magnoliopsida; Brassicales; Brassicaceae.
GAGAAAAGGUUUGAAAGCCUCUA